GAUGAACGCUAGCGGGAGGCCUAACACAUGCAAGCCGAGCGGUAGAGUUUCUUCGGAAACUUGAGAGCGGCGCACGGGUGCGUAACACGUGUGCAACCUACCUUUAUCUGGGGGAUAGCCUUUCGAAAGGAAGAUUAAUACCCCAUAAUAUAAUGAUUGGCAUCAAUUAUUAUUGAAAACUCCGGUGGAUAGAGAUGGGCACGCGCAAGAUUAGCUAGUUGGUGAGGUAACGGCUCACCAAGUCAAUGAUCUUUAGGGGUCCUGAGAGGGAGAUCCCCCACACUGGUACUGAGACACGGACCAGAAUCCUACGGGAGGCAGCAGAGAGGAAUAUUGGACAAUGGGGGAGAACCUGAUCCAGCCACCCCGCGUGAAGGAUGACGGUCCUAGGGAUUGUAAGCUUCUUUUGUACAGGGAUAAACCUACCCUCGUGAGGGUAGCUGAAGGUACUGUACGAAUAAGCACCGGCUAACUCCGUG
Molecule: ribosomal RNA, 479 nt
Filed under: uncultured bacterium
Lineage: Bacteria
Description: partial 16S ribosomal RNA
Rfam family: Bacterial small subunit ribosomal RNA
Source: RNAcentral